Molecule: ribosomal RNA, 371 nt
Filed under: uncultured Glomeromycotina
Lineage: Eukaryota; Fungi; Glomeromycota
Description: LSU rRNA
Source: RNAcentral
UUGAAAGGGAAACGAUUGAAGUCAGUCGUACCGGCGGGUAAUCAGCCUUUUGGGUGUGAUUAUGUGGAGCAUGAGGAGUUAAACACCCUCAUCUUUGCAUAUUCGUGCACUUUGGGUGUACUUGCUCGUGUGGUAGGUUAACAUCAAUUUUGAUCGUCAUAAAAUGAUUGGAGGAAUGUAGCUUCGAUCUCGUAUUGAAGUGUUAUAGGCUUCGGUAGAUGUGAUGAUUGGGAUUGAGGAUUGCAACGGAUUCCUUCGGGGCUACCUGUCUGAUCUCUGAAAGUUGCUCUGGUGCUGAAAGCUUGCUUAUGGUAUCAAAGUUGACGUUCAACAGGUUAGAACGGGAUAAAUUCGUUAAGGAUGUUGACGUA